UACAGAGGUCUCAAGCGUUGUUCGGAUUCAUUGGGCGUAAAGGGCGCGUAGGCUGCGGGGCAAGUCGGGUGUGAAAUCUCAGAGCUCAACUCUGAAACUGCACUCGAUACUGCUUUGCUGGAGGACUGGAGAGGAGAUUGGAAUUCACGGUGUAGCAGUGAAAUGCGUAGAUAUCGUGAGGAAGACCAGUGGCGAAGGCGGAUCUCUGGACAGUUCCUGACGCUGAGGCGCGAAGGCCAGGGGAGCAAACGGG
RNAcentral lists this ribosomal RNA (253 nucleotides) under uncultured bacterium. Its description in RNAcentral is "partial 16S ribosomal RNA". It matches the Rfam family "Bacterial small subunit ribosomal RNA", at positions 524 to 776 of the family's 1533-position model. The record is from RNAcentral.